GAGUUUGAUCCUGGCUCAGGACGAACGCUGGCGGCGCGCCUAACACAUGCAAGUCGAACGAGCGAGAGAGAGCUUGCUUUCUCAAGCGAGUGGCGAACGGGUGAGUAACGCGUGAGGAACCUGCCUCAAAGAGGGGGACAACAGUUGGAAACGACUGCUAAUACCGCAUAAGCCCACGGCUCGGCAUCGAGCAGAGGGAAAAGGAGCAAUCCGCUUUGAGAUGGCCUCGCGUCCGAUUAGCUAGUUGGUGAGGUAACGGCCCACCAAGGCGACGAUCGGUAGCCGGACUGAGAGGUUGAACGGCCACAUUGGGACUGAGACACGGCCCAGACUCCUACGGGAGGCAGCAGUGGGGAAUAUUGCACAAUGGGGGAAACCCUGAUGCAGCGACGCCGCGUGGAGGAAGAAGGUCUUCGGAUUGUAAACUCCUGUUGUUGAGGAAGAUAAUGACGGUACUCAACAAGGAAGUGACGGCUAACUACGUGCCAGCAGCCGCGGUAAAACGUAGGUCACAAGCGUUGUCCGGAAUUACUGGGUGUAAAGGGAGCGCAGGCGGGAAAGCAAGUUGGAAGUGAAAUCCAUGGGCUCAACCCAUGAACUGCUUUCAAAACUGUUUUUCUUGAGUAGUGCAGAGGUAGGCGGAAUUCCCGGUGUAGCGGUGGAAUGCGUAGAUAUCGGGAGGAACACCAGUGGCGAAGGCGGCCUACUGGGCACCAACUGACGCUGAGGCUCGAAAGUGUGGGUAGCAAACAGGAUUAGAUACCCUGGUAGUCCACACUGUAAACGAUGAUUACUAGGUGUUGGAGGAUUGACCCCUUCAGUGCCGCAGUUAACACAAUAAGUAAUCCACCUGGGGAGUACGACCGCAAGGUUGAAACUCAAAGGAAUUGACGGGGGCCCGCACAAGCAGUGGAGUAUGUGGUUUAAUUCGACGCAACGCGAAGAACCUUACCAAGUCUUGACAUCCUGCGACGGUGCUGGAAACAGUACUUUCCUUCGGGACGCAGAGACAGGUGGUGCAUGGUUGUCGUCAGCUCGUGUCGUGAGAUGUUGGGUUAAGUCCCGCAACGAGCGCAACCCUUAUGGUCAGUUACUACGCAAGAGGACUCUGGCCAGACUGCCGUUGACAAAACGGAGGAAGGUGGGGAUGACGUCAAAUCAUCAUGCCCUUUAUGACUUGGGCUACACACGUACUACAAUGGCGUUAAACAAAGAGAAGCAAGACCGCGAGGUGGAGCAAAACUCAGAAACAACGUCCCAGUUCGGACUGCAGGCUGCAACUCGCCUGCACGAAGUCGGAAUUGCUAGUAAUCGCAGAUCAGCAUGCUGCGGUGAAUACGUUCCCGGGCCUUGUACACACCGCCCGUC
RNAcentral lists this ribosomal RNA (1368 nucleotides) under uncultured bacterium. Its description in RNAcentral is "bacterial SSU rRNA". It matches the Rfam family "Bacterial small subunit ribosomal RNA". The record is from RNAcentral.